This 72-nucleotide transfer RNA is filed under the name Sphaerodactylus townsendi. Its description in RNAcentral is "tRNA-Ile". It matches the Rfam family "tRNA". From Rfam's summary of the family: Transfer RNA (tRNA) molecules are approximately 80 nucleotides in length. Their secondary structure includes four short double-helical elements and three loops (D, anti-codon, and T loops). Further hydrogen bonds mediate the characteristic L-shaped molecular structure. tRNAs have two regions of fundamental functional importance: the anti-codon, which is responsible for specific mRNA codon recognition, and the 3' end, to which the tRNAs corresponding amino acid is attached (by aminoacyl-tRNA synthetases). tRNAs cope with the degeneracy of the genetic code in two manners: having more than one tRNA (with a specific anti-codon) for a particular amino acid; and 'wobble' base-pairing, i.e. permitting non-standard base-pairing at the 3rd anti-codon position. Lineage: Eukaryota; Metazoa; Chordata; Lepidosauria; Squamata; Sphaerodactylidae. The record is from RNAcentral.
GGGGUUGUGGCUCAGUGGAAGAGUUUCUGCUUUAUAUGCAGAAGGCCCCAAGUGUAAUCCUUAACAUCUCUA